GCUUUUAUCAAAGGGCGUUUUAUUUUAGAUGGUAUUCUCUCCCUUCAUGAGAUUGUUCAUGACCUUCAUGUGCGGAAAUCCAAAGCCAUUAUCCUCAAGCUAGACUUCGAAAAAGCGUAUGACUCGGUUAGCUGGCCUUUUCUCAGGCAGAUUCUUCUUGCCAAAGGGUUCGACGGUGCUUAUGUUCACCGUAUCAUGCAGUUGGUCUCGGGUGGCCACACUGCAGUUGCCGUAAAUGGUGCUAUUAGCAACUUCUUUGCGAAUGGGAGGGGCCUCCGCCAAGGGGAUCCGGCCUCCCCUGUUCUUUUCAACUUUGUGGCUGACGCCUUCUCCUGUAUGCUCUCCAAAGCGGCUCGAUGUGGUCAUAUUAUCCCUGUGGUUUCU
RNAcentral lists this ribosomal RNA (384 nucleotides) under Triticum aestivum (bread wheat). RNAcentral's name for it is "partial small subunit ribosomal RNA". The record is from RNAcentral. Lineage: Eukaryota; Viridiplantae; Streptophyta; Magnoliopsida; Poales; Poaceae.